GGAGUAUGGACCGUUCUCAGUUCCAUUGUGGCCGUUCAACCUCUCAGUCCGGCUACGCAUCAUCGCCUUGGUGGGCUGUUAUCUCACCAACUAGCUAAUGCGCCGCAGGCCCCUCUCUAAGUGGCAUUAUAACCUUUAAACAUCUAAGGAUGCCCUUUGUGAUGUCCUAUCCAGUAUUAUCCGUCGUUUCCAACGGUUAUCCUCGUCUUAAAGACAGGUUGCCUACGUGUUACUCACCCGUUCGCCAUGGUUUGUAUUGCUACUACCAUUCGACUUGCAUGUAUUAGGCACGCCGCCAGCGUUAAUC
RNAcentral lists this ribosomal RNA (307 nucleotides) under uncultured Anaeroplasma sp. Its description in RNAcentral is "partial 16S ribosomal RNA". Lineage: Bacteria; Bacillati; Mycoplasmatota; Mollicutes; Anaeroplasmatales; Anaeroplasmataceae. The record is from RNAcentral.